This 279-nucleotide ribosomal RNA is filed under the name uncultured bacterium. Its description in RNAcentral is "partial 16S ribosomal RNA". It matches the Rfam family "Bacterial small subunit ribosomal RNA", at positions 357 to 617 of the family's 1533-position model. The record is from RNAcentral.
GGGAAUAUUAGCACAAUGGGAGGAAACCCUGAUUGCAUGCCAUGCCUGCGUGUGUGAAGAAGGCCUUCGGGUUGUAAAGCACUUUCAGCGAGGAGGAAAGGGUGUAAGUUAAUACCUUACAUCUGUGACGUUACUCGCAGAAGAAGCACCGGCUAACUCCGUUGCCAGCAGCCGCGGUAAAUACGGAGGGUGCGAGCGUUAAUCGGAAUUACUUGGGCGUAAAAGCGUGCGCANGGCGGUGGAAAGCGAGAAUGUGAAAGCCCCCGGGGCUCCACCUGG